Molecule: long non-coding RNA, 397 nt
Organism: Xyrauchen texanus (razorback sucker)
Lineage: Eukaryota; Metazoa; Chordata; Actinopteri; Cypriniformes; Catostomidae
Exons: 3
Source: RefSeq, a predicted model, not a curated record
AUUCGGUUCAGUUUGCCAUUCAAUCACGAGUUACAGUCAGACUCAGUACUAGUUUCAACAGCCUACAGUUAGCAAAGUCAUCGACUACCAUCGUUUAAAGUUUGGCGAUGUUGUGCGAAGCAUGGACAUCAAAAUGGACACUAUGCUGCAACAUUUUAGUGCCGGUGUGUCCGUUGGAGGGUUAUCCCUGCCAGGGGAUCUGUUACUCCCACUAGACACCCAGGACGAUUUAGCGUUGCUUGACAGCAGUCUGAGGCAGGAUAAAGAGCUCCAGCAACGAUUUCUUCGGUUUUUGGCAAUCAAGUGUGGGAGGGACCUCAAGACAACUGUGUGGCGAAUGCUUGAGAGUAUCUUCUCUAAUCGCCUUUCCAUUAACACAACCUGGACUGGUGCAGGG